AAACACUAUCAACCUUUAAUGGGUGGGUCUUUUUCAUCUACAAUUGCGUCAAGCUGGACGACAACGAUUUAUCGAGCAAAUGGUCGAGAUCUGGGUCAACUAUGGUGGGAAGAGAGAUGUUGUGGAUGUGAAUCACUUCUGCCAAUGCCCAACCAUGAGAUUGUGAUGAAUAGUUCGUACUUUGCGUGGGGUUUGUGCUAAACUGUAAUAUUCCAGGGUUGUUGGUACCCUCCCUCUUGCAUACAAUUCUCUCACCCAAUCAAUCAGCACCACCUCAU
This is a non-coding RNA of Prunus avium (sweet cherry), 278 nucleotides long. The record is from RefSeq and is a predicted model, not a curated record. NCBI's taxonomy places the organism in Eukaryota, Viridiplantae, Streptophyta, Magnoliopsida, Rosales, Rosaceae.